UGGGUUUCAAAUUUCACCAAGUCCCAAACAAGUAAGAGAUAGACGUCAAGAAGGUGAUUGAUGAUUGGGUUGCUUCCUGUAAUCUUGUUCCACUUUGAUCUGCAUUUUCCAACUUUGGGGUAGGUCGUAUUUUUCUCAUUCGUACAGGUGUUUGAAGAAAAUCUGCAGAAUGGGCAGACGAGAUAAGAAUCUUUUUCUUCUUCUACUUCCUGUUUUCGGUCUUUUGAAUUCAAUCCAAGUGGAGUGCAAUUUUGUCAAUAUUACAUAUGUCGAAAGUGCGGUCAUUGAAGGCGCAGGUAAAGAAAGAAGAAGAAACUCACCAUCUUCUUUGAAAAUUACUUUUUCAUAAAUCAGCUGAGAUUAUGAUCAUAACUGAAAACUUACCAUUUACAGUGUGUUUGGAUGGAAGCCCACCUGCAUAUCACCUGUCUCCUGGUUUUGGAAUAGGAGUUGAUAAUUG
RNAcentral lists this long non-coding RNA (460 nucleotides) under Zostera marina. RNAcentral describes it as "long non-coding RNA (ZMAR_LNC005774)". Lineage: Eukaryota; Viridiplantae; Streptophyta; Magnoliopsida; Alismatales; Zosteraceae. The record is from RNAcentral.